Molecule: ribosomal RNA, 384 nt
Filed under: uncultured bacterium
Lineage: Bacteria
Description: bacterial SSU rRNA
Rfam family: Bacterial small subunit ribosomal RNA
Source: RNAcentral
GAUGAACGCUAGCGGCAGGCCUAAUACAUGCAAGUCGAGGGGCAGCGCGGUAGCAAUACUGGCGGCGACCGGCGCACGGGUGCGUAACACGUAUGCAACCUACCUUCAACUGGAGGAUAGCCCGGGGAAACUCGGAUUAAUACUCCAUAACACAGGGAUCCCGCAUGGGAAUAUUGUUAAAGCUACGGCGGUUGAAGAUGGGCAUGCGUUCGAUUAGCUAGUUGGUGUAGGUAACGGCUCACCAAGGCUACGAUCGAUAGGGGGUCUGAGAGGAUGAUCCCCCACACUGGUACUGAGAUACGGACCAGACUCCUACGGGAGGCAGCAGUAGGGAAUAUUGGUCAAAUGGGGCGCAAAGCCUGAACCAGCCAUGCCGCGUGCAGG